Non-coding RNA from Anas platyrhynchos (mallard), 3478 nucleotides. The record is from RefSeq and is a predicted model, not a curated record. NCBI's taxonomy places the organism in Eukaryota, Metazoa, Chordata, Aves, Anseriformes, Anatidae.
UGCUGCUCCUUUAGUGGUGAUCAGUGGAGUAAAACAGAAAUGCCCCAUUCUCUGGAUGUGCUACUGCUUGGGUAUGAUGCAAAACACCUUUUGUAUGGUCAUUAAGUUUACAUAGAGCAUGGUCAAGUAACAAGACAGGAAUAGUUAUUUUGGCAAGGUAAGUAGAAUCUUUAAGUUUCAGGUUCAAGAUUCUUUCUUGACUACAAAGUAUUACCUCAUUGAAAUCCCUAAAGAUUAAUUAUCUAUUUUUCAUUUGAAUGUGGCUUAGAGAAAGAAGGGUAGGAAGAAAGUUCAUUUGCUGAUGAUAAGGUGACGGUUCCUGACAUGCCUCAGAAGCUGGCUUCUCAGGUGAUAAGCCUUAAGGGAUCCAUGUUCCCAAGAGAAGGGCUUCCAUGGUAUGUCAAAGAGCUCUUAGUAAAGGAGAGCUGAGAGGCACUAACCUAAAAUAAGCAAACAUUCAGAGGAAGAGGGUAAGCUUCGUAAGCAAGGAAAAUACCGCUUGUAAAUACAUGAAAACUUCUAGUGAAAUCACACAAAAAAGUAUUUGUACAGUGUCAAAAAAAGAAGAAAAACUUUUGGAAAAGUUCUGAUGAAGUCAGACUGAACUCUGUGGAAAGACAAAACUCAGCAACUACAAAUAAUUCAGUGAAUCUACAUUACCAAAUACCCACACAAGCAGAAAUGACAGGAAAAGUUCAGAGUGAAAUGAAGGGAGGAAAACUCAGUGAUGGGCAUAAUUCAAGAAAAAAGCCAUAACUGUAGCAAAGACUUUCAAGCAGUUUCCACAUCUUGGCAGUUGCCAAGGAUCCUUCCUUCUCCAGAGCUUGCUGAAAACCAGCAAAACUGCUCUUCCUCAGAAUCCUGAAACUAGAAGAGGCCUAUGUGCAACUGUUGUCAUGGACACUUUACGGAAGUUGAUCCGAAGUGUGCUCCCCUACCCAGUUAUAAUUUGUGUCUUCUCCAUGAAAACCUCAAUACUACUAUUGAGGUACUACUGCAUCACGUUGAAAGAAAACAGGCAAAACAAGGGCCUUUCCACUUCCAAUGGCUUGCUCACAGGUUAUCACCCAAAGAAGUACUAAUUUGUCAUUUGAUUAAAAAGAAAUGUGGAGAUUACAGAUCAUUCUGUGGUAAUCUAUAACUCCUCUCUCUCAGUCCCAGACUACCUUAUGAACUGGUCUUCUAUUCUUCCAUUAUUAAUUACUAUAUUCUUACUUGCAGUGAGUUUUGAGUCUCGUGAGGGCAAAAAUGUCAAGGUGGAUUCACAACUGCUAGGUUAUAUUCUAAUAGUUUGGACUUUUCCCUUUUGUUCACUAUGAUUAGAAUGCUGAAAGUUUUAUGAGGUUUGGGAAAUUAUUUCUGUGGAGUUGCAGGGAGGGGAGCAGGGUUUGCUUUAGAACAAUCUAUAGGAACCCAUCUGUACUUCUGUCAUUUCAGUGGAAACCCAAAGCUUGGACUGCAGCAGAUAUGGAAGCACUGGCUUGUUUCUAACAUCUCUCACAUAGUCAAGGCACUCAGAAUAAUCUUAAAUGCACAGCUGUUUCUGCAAAUGAGGAAAAGAGAGUUUACAAGUAAUCUUCCUAUCACAGCAUGUGUGGAUGUUGCAUUAUUCAAUAGCUAUUCUUGUGGGGCCAUGCACUUACAUGGUUCAAUACACUAAUGUUUUCUCUCCUUACCCUGAAAGGCCUUCAACAAAGGACAAAAAUAACCAGCUUAUGGUUCUAGUACAGGCAGGAAGAAUUUAAUUUUACCUGUUCACACAAAUACUCAACUAUUUCUCAUCCAGCAUUGUGUAAAUAUAUCCCAAACUUAAAAACAAGAUCAAACUGCUAAAUGUAUCUAGCUUGCUAUUACAGUACAAUAAUUUGUUUUAACUUUAUUUUCAUGUACAGCUUCAGAAUAUAUAGACCAUAGAAAACUGUAUAUUUUAGAGGCACAUCAGGUAGAAAUAAUAUCCUAAAGUAUGUUUAUCCCAUUAACUCUAAUCCAAGCUUUUUGGCAUUUUCUUGGUACUCAGAACAUUCACAUCUGUUCUAUGUGGAAUCAUGUAUAUGCUGCUGUUUGUAUGCUACAGUGAGCGUGGUUUUCAUUUCUAACUAAAGGGACUGCACUUUUACUGUUGAAGCUGAGUUCAGGUAUAUAUACAUCUUUAUUUUAAAUAUUCAUUCUAUAAAUGACCUAAGCAUUAUCAAGGCAAUAAACUGAAGAAGCAUCUCUUCAAGUCAAUGUCAUAGUAGCUUACCUUACAAUUUUAUAGAACUAUAUUCUAGAUACAAAAGUUUUAAUCCCUAUUUGCUUUAGAAUUUUUUGUCGUACUAUUUCAUGUUUGAAUAAGGCUCGCAAAAUGUCUAGCUUAUACUCUAUCUACUCUUAGCCUUAAACCUAAAUCUGUUUAUUUAAAACAAAUUCUGCUUGCUAGCAAAAUUCAGGCUUUGAAUCUGAAAUGUAUUCAGCAAACUGUAGAAACACUUUUAAAAAGUAGGGUAGUAAUGCUUGAAAUUCAGAGUGUUCACACUAAGAGGGAGAGAAAAAUUGACAAAAUAAUAGUGUCGUGCUAGACUGGUGAGAACGCAUUUUGCUCAAACUGAUUUAUUGCAUUUUUUUUUUUAACUACUAUUGCUUUUAUUUGCUCUUCUACUUACAUGUGUAAUUUCUUACCAGACUUGUUGGGCUUUCUUCACUCCCUAAGAUAAGUAUUACAUGUCAAAGCAUUUUAGGAUGUUCAAUAGAGAUGGAACUAUCGUUAGUUCCAUCUCUAUUACUCGUGUUGGAGACCAUUCCUAUACUGGUUCAGUUUUGUAACUGAACUUUUACUCUGUGAGAAAUCAAGGAUGAAUUAUCUGCAGGAAUGGGUCAGACCAUCAGCUGAUAUAUAACAGGGUAAGUUAUCAACUUUAAUAGAGCUACGCUAUUUUGUAAUAACAACUUUAUUCUGUAUUAAGAGUAAAACCUCAUCCAAGACCUAUUUAUUUUUUAUUGCCUAUGUAUUGGGCCAGCUGUAGAGAACAUACUGAAGUAAAUACAUGGUUAGUGCUUUUACAAAGUCAAAUCUGUAUUUAAACAUCAAAACUGUGACUAACCAGAAAAAGCAACUUCAUUCAUUCUCCACCUUGGUCUCCAAACUCUGAAAUCACCAUUAGCCAAAGCUAGUAUUAUACUGCUGAACAGUUAAGCCUGGUAUUACAGUAGAGAUUUCUCUCACAAAGUUAUUGAGAAAUAAAAAUCACCAAGUCGUUUUAUUUUGAAAAACUAUCCUGGAACUCAUAAACAAAACUAUUACACUCUGAUUUCUUUCCUUUUCAAGUAAAAUCCACAAAAGAAUUUAGAAUUAUUUUGGUAAAGGCCAAUUUCCUAGUGGGCAGACUCAGGGAAUGCUUUUGUAAAUGAUAUAUUAGCCAGGAAAUUACUAUCUAAUCAAAGCCCAGUGUAAUAAACAUGUUGAGUUUGGCCAUUUUUUUUCUUUCUUUUUUUUUUUUUU